RNAcentral lists this long non-coding RNA (233 nucleotides) under Mytilus galloprovincialis (Mediterranean mussel). Lineage: Eukaryota; Metazoa; Mollusca; Bivalvia; Mytilida; Mytilidae. The record is from RNAcentral.
GUCAACUAUAUAUGUUGUAUAGAAGCAUUGUUAGCUGUACCUGUCUGCCUGGCAUGGUUCAUCUGACCUGGACCUCUUUUUCAAGUUCAUUGGUCUUUGUUUAGUUAUCUUGGUUAAUGUUAAGUUUAUGUGACAGCUGUAAUAAAGCUUAGCUUUAUACUUAGGACUAUCAACAUAAUAUCAAUGAUUAGUAUAGAAGGCGAGACAUUUCAGCGUGUGCACUCUUGUUAUGA